AACUGAGGCAGACACUGGGAGCUUGUCUUCUCCUCGCACUAGCGAUCCUCCCCUCCAGGCAGGCUGAUGCUGUAAGAACUGGCCCUGGCAGGAUCAGCUCCUCUAGAGGGUACUAAAAAGGGAACAGCAAAGUUUCACUUUCAGCUCUCCCUUAUUCUGAUGACAUCUGUCAGAUGCACGGCUGCUGGUGGUGUGGAAGAUACUCCUCUGUUGGGAGGUGCAGUGUUGAACACCGGCAUGACUGACAGCAGUCUCCAGGCUCUGGCUGCUGAUGAACAUUGUCGGUGCCCCUCAUAUAAUGAUGACUUACCUCUUCCCAGAUUGGACAAGAGGAGGCCUGUGAAAAGCACCAUUGCUUGUUUUAAUCUUUAUAUAGAGCAUACCAUGACCCUGGCAGAGGAAAAGCAGCUAAAUCCUACCUCCUCUAUGAAUACGUUUAGAAACACCAACUGAUCAAAGUUAACACUGUGCGAUGAGCAACUGAGUUACUCCUGUUACCACACGUUCCUGGGCUUGACAGACUGCAUCAUUUGGUGUGUUGAUGUAUCAGGAUUUCAUACACCAUGAAUAUUCACCGCGCAUAUUAAAUUAACCAGAUAAAUUAAUAAAUAAAAGACAGAGAGGCUGGAAUAAAGGACAGAGAAAAUGAGCAGAUUUUGAUCUAGUAAGCAAUUUAAAUCUGUGCUGGCAAGCUGUAUUCGUUCAUUCAUUAAUUCAGUCGUGUGCUCAGAAAACCCCAGCAGAGCUCCCUUCCAGCGCAAGAACUUCCGACUGUGAAAUAAACCCUGCGUAACCAGAUUAACUAUGAAGUAUGUAUCAGCCAGGUCUUAGGCAUUAAUUCAAGCAUACCUUGCCUGCACUGUACAUCACCAGAGCCUGGAUUCUGGAUCAGGUGUCGCUCACUGGCAGGCAUAAACUCUGUGAA
This is a long non-coding RNA of Pezoporus occidentalis (night parrot), 925 nucleotides long. RefSeq lists it as uncharacterized. The transcript has 3 exons. The record is from RefSeq and is a predicted model, not a curated record. Lineage: Eukaryota; Metazoa; Chordata; Aves; Psittaciformes; Psittacidae.